UUAAGCGACUAAGCGUACACGGUGGAUGCCCUGGCAGUCAGAGGCGAUGAAGGACGUGCUAAUCUGCGAUAAGCGUCGGUAAGGUGAUAUGAACCGUUAUAACCGGCGAUUUCCGAAUGGGGAAACCCAGUGUGAUUCGUCACACUAUCAUUAACUGAAUCCAUAGGUUAAUGAGGCGAACCGGGGGAACUGAAACAUCUAAGUACCCGAGGAAAAGAAAUCAACCGAGAUUCCCCCAGUAGCGGCGAGCGAACGGGGAGGAGCCCAGAGCCUGAAUCAGUGUGUGUGUUAGUGGAAGCGUCUGGAAAGGCGCGCGAUACAGGGUGACAGCCCCGUACACAAAAAUGCACAUAUUGUGAGCUCGAUGAGUAGGGCGGGACACGUGGUAUCCUGUCUGAAUAUGGGGGGACCAUCCUCCAAGGCUAAAUACUCCUGACUGACCGAUAGUGAACCAGUACCGUGAGGGAAAGGCGAAAAGAACCCCGGCGAGGGGAGUGAAAAAGAACCUGAAACCGUGUACGUACAAGCAGUGGGAGCCUCUUUAUGGGGUGACUGCGUACCUUUUGUAUAAUGGGUCAGCGACUUAUAUUCUGUAGCAAGGUUAACCGAAUAGGGGAGCCGAAGGGAAACCGAGUCUUAACUGGGCGUUAAGUUGCAGGGUAUAGACCCGAAACCCGGUGAUCUAGCCAUGGGCAGGUUGAAGGUUGGGUAACACUAACUGGAGGACCGAACCGACUAAUGUUGAAAAAUUAGCGGAUGACUUGUGGCUGGGGGUGAAAGGCCAAUCAAACCGGGAGAUAGCUGGUUCUCCCCGAAAGCUAUUUAGGUAGCGCCUCGUGAAUUCAUCUCCGGGGGUAGAGCACUGUUUCGGCAAGGGGGUCAUCCCGACUUACCAACCCGAUGCAAACUGCGAAUACCGGAGAAUGUUAUCACGGGAGACACACGGCGGGUGCUAACGUCCGUCGUGAAGAGGGAAACAACCCAGACCGCCAGCUAAGGUCCCAAAGUCAUGGUUAAGUGGGAAACGAUGUGGGAAGGCCCAGACAGCCAGGAUGUUGGCUUAGAAGCAGCCAUCAUUUAAAGAAAGCGUAAUAGCUCACUGGUCGAGUCGGCCUGCGCGGAAGAUGUAACGGGGCUAAACCAUGCACCGAAGCUGCGGCAGCGACACUAAGUGUUGUUGGGUAGGGGAGCGUUCUGUAAGCCUGUGAAGGUGUGCUGUGAGGCAUGCUGGAGGUAUCAGAAGUGCGAAUGCUGACAUAAGUAACGAUAAAGCGGGUGAAAAGCCCGCUCGCCGGAAGACCAAGGGUUCCUGUCCAACGUUAAUCGGGGCAGGGUGAGUCGACCCCUAAGGCGAGGCCGAAAGGCGUAGUCGAUGGGAAACAGGUUAAUAUUCCUGUACUUGGUGUUACUGCGAAGGGGGGACGGAGAAGGCUAUGUUGGCCGGGCGACGGUUGUCCCGGUUUAAGCGUGUAGGCUGGUUUUCCAGGCAAAUCCGGAAAAUCAAGGCUGAGGCGUGAUGACGAGGCACUACGGUGCUGAAGCAACAAAUGCCCUGCUUCCAGGAAAAGCCUCUAAGCAUCAGGUAACAUCAAAUCGUACCCCAAACCGACACAGGUGGUCAGGUAGAGAAUACCAAGGCGCUUGAGAGAACUCGGGUGAAGGAACUAGGCAAAAUGGUGCCGUAACUUCGGGAGAAGGCACGCUGAUAUGUAGGUGAAGCGACUUGCUCGUGGAGCUGAAAUCAGUCGAAGAUACCAGCUGGCUGCAACUGUUUAUUAAAAACACAGCACUGUGCAAACACGAAAGUGGACGUAUACGGUGUGACGCCUGCCCGGUGCCGGAAGGUUAAUUGAUGGGGUUAGCGGUAACGCGAAGCUCUUGAUCGAAGCCCCGGUAAACGGCGGCCGUAACUAUAACGGUCCUAAGGUAGCGAAAUUCCUUGUCGGGUAAGUUCCGACCUGCACGAAUGGCGUAAUGAUGGCCAGGCUGUCUCCACCCGAGACUCAGUGAAAUUGAACUCGCUGUGAAGAUGCAGUGUACCCGCGGCAAGACGGAAAGACCCCGUGAACCUUUACUAUAGCUUGACACUGAACAUUGAGCCUUGAUGUGUAGGAUAGGUGGGAGGCUUUGAAGUGUGGACGCCAGUCUGCAUGGAGCCGACCUUGAAAUACCACCCUUUAAUGUUUGAUGUUCUAACGUUGGCCCCUUAUCGGGGUUGCGGACAGUGUCUGGUGGGUAGUUUGACUGGGGCGGUCUCCUCCUAAAGAGUAACGGAGGAGCACGAAGGUUGGCUAAUCCUGGUCGGACAUCAGGAGGUUAGUGCAAUGGCAUAAGCCAGCUUGACUGCGAGCGUGACGGCGCGAGCAGGUGCGAAAGCAGGUCAUAGUGAUCCGGUGGUUCUGAAUGGAAGGGCCAUCGCUCAACGGAUAAAAGGUACUCCGGGGAUAACAGGCUGAUACCGCCCAAGAGUUCAUAUCGACGGCGGUGUUUGGCACCUCGAUGUCGGCUCAUCACAUCCUGGGGCUGAAGUAGGUCCCAAGGGUAUGGCUGUUCGCCAUUUAAAGUGGUACGCGAGCUGGGUUUAGAACGUCGUGAGACAGUUCGGUCCCUAUCUGCCGUGGGCGCUGGAGAACUGAGGGGGGCUGCUCCUAGUACGAGAGGACCGGAGUGGACGCAUCACUGGUGUUCGGGUUGUCAUGCCAAUGGCACUGCCCGGUAGCUAAAUGCGGAAGAGAUAAGUGCUGAAAGCAUCUAAGCACGAAACUUGCCCCGAGAUGAGUUCUCCCUGACCCUUUAAGGGUCCUGAAGGAACGUUGAAGACGACGACGUUGAUAGGCCGGGUGUGUAAGCGCAGCGAUGCGUUGAGCUAACCGGUACUAAUGAACCGUGAGGCUUAACCUU
Molecule: ribosomal RNA, 2901 nt
Filed under: Escherichia coli
Lineage: Bacteria; Pseudomonadati; Pseudomonadota; Gammaproteobacteria; Enterobacterales; Enterobacteriaceae
Description: bacterial LSU rRNA
Rfam family: Bacterial large subunit ribosomal RNA
Source: RNAcentral